UCGGGAAUUUUGGGCAAUGGGCGAAAGCCUGACCCAGCAACGCCGCGUGAGGGAUGAAGUAUUUCGGUAUGUAAACCUCGAAAGAAUGGGAAGAAUAAAUGACGGUACCAUUUAUAAGCUCCGGCUAACUACGUGCCAGCGGCCGCGGUAAUACGUAGGGAGCAAGCGUUGUUCGGAUUUACUGGGCGUAAAGGGCGCGUAGGCGGCGCGGUAAGGCCCUUGUGAAAUCUCUGAGCUUAACUCAGAACGGCCAAGUGAUACUGCUGUGCUAGAGUGCGGAAGAGGCAACCGGAAUUCUUGGUGUAGCGGUGAAAUGGGUAGAUAUCAAGAGGAACACCUGAGGCGAAGGCGGGUUGCUGAGCCGACACUGACGCUGAUGCGCGAAAGCCAG
This 391-nucleotide ribosomal RNA is filed under the name uncultured bacterium. Its description in RNAcentral is "bacterial SSU rRNA". It matches the Rfam family "Bacterial small subunit ribosomal RNA", at positions 355 to 763 of the family's 1533-position model. The record is from RNAcentral.